UCAGCCCUAAACACAAAUAAUUAUAAAAACAAAAUUAUUCGCCAGAGUACUACCGGCAACAGCCUAAAACUCAAAGGACUUGGCGGUGCUUUACACCCUUCUAGAGGAGCCUGUUCUAUAAUCGAUAAACCCCGAUAGACCUCACCAAUUCUUGCUAAUACAGUCUAUAUACCGCCAUCUUCAGCAAACCCUAAAAAGGAACAAAAGUAAGCAUAAUCACAGCACAUAAAAACGUUAGGUCAAGGUGUAACCUAUGAAAUGGGAAGAAAUGGGCUACAUUUUCUACCACAAGAAAAUCACACGAAAGUUAUUAUGAAACUAAUAACCAAAGGAGGAUUUAGUAGUAAACUAAGAA
Molecule: ribosomal RNA, 355 nt
Filed under: Cephalophorus ogilbyi (Ogilby's duiker)
Lineage: Eukaryota; Metazoa; Chordata; Mammalia; Artiodactyla; Bovidae
Description: Cephalophus ogilbyi (Ogilby's duiker) partial 12S small subunit ribosomal RNA
Rfam family: Bacterial small subunit ribosomal RNA
Source: RNAcentral